RNAcentral lists this ribosomal RNA (380 nucleotides) under uncultured archaeon. RNAcentral describes it as "bacterial SSU rRNA". It matches the Rfam family "Archaeal small subunit ribosomal RNA", at positions 471 to 851 of the family's 1478-position model. The record is from RNAcentral.
UAAUACCAGCUCCCCGAGUGGUGGGGAUUUUUAUUGGGCCUAAAGCGUUCGUAGCUUGCUCAGCAAGUCCUCCGUUAAAUCCAACGAUCUAAUCGUUGGGCUGCGGGGGAUACUGCAGGGCUAGGGGGCGGGAGAAGUCGACUGUACUCUUGGGGUAGGGGUGAAAUCCUAUAAUCCUAGGAGGACAACCAGUGGCGAAGGCGGUCGGCUAGAACGCGCCCGACGGUGAGGGACGAAAGCUGGGGGAGCGAUCCGGAUUAGAUACCCGGGUAGUCCCAGCUGUAAACGAUGCAGGCUAGGUGUUGGCGUGACUACGGGUCACGCUAGUGCCGCAGGGAAGCCGUUAAGCCUGCCGCCUGGGAAGUACGGUCGCAAGACUG